This 442-nucleotide ribosomal RNA is filed under the name uncultured bacterium. RNAcentral describes it as "bacterial SSU rRNA". It matches the Rfam family "Bacterial small subunit ribosomal RNA", at positions 28 to 467 of the family's 1533-position model. The record is from RNAcentral.
GAUGAACGCUGGCGGCGUGCCUAAUACAUGCAAGUCGAACGCUUCACUUCGGUGAAGAGUGGCGAACGGGUGAGUAAUACAUAAGUAACCUGGCAUCUACAGGGGGAUAACUGAUGGAAACGUCAGCUAAGACCGCAUAGGUGUAGAGAUCGCAUGAACUCUAUAUGAAAAGUGCUACGGGACUGGUAGAUGAUGGACUUAUGGCGCAUUAGCUUGUUGGUAGGGUAACGGCCUACCAAGGCGACGAUGCGUAGCCGACCUGAGAGGGUGACCGGCCACACUGGGACUGAGACACGGCCCAGACUCCUACGGGAGGCAGCAGUAGGGAAUUUUCGGCAAUGGGGGAAACCCUGACCGAGCAACGCCGCGUGAAGGAAGAAGUAAUUCGUUAUGUAAACUUCUGUCAUAGAGGAAGAACGGUGGAUAUAGGGAAUGAUAUCCA